Molecule: ribosomal RNA, 469 nt
Filed under: uncultured bacterium
Lineage: Bacteria
Description: partial 16S ribosomal RNA
Rfam family: Bacterial small subunit ribosomal RNA
Source: RNAcentral
GACGAACGCUGGCGGCGUGCUUAACACAUGCAAGUCGAACGGAAAGGCCCUGCUUGCAGGGUGCUCGAGUGGCGAACGGGUGAGUAACACGUGGGUGAUCUGCCCCUUACUUUGGGAUAAGCCUGGGAAACUGGGUCUAAUACUGGAUAGGACCAUGCUGUAGGUGGUGUGGUGGAAAGAUUAGUUUCGGUAAGGGAUGAGCUCGCGGCCUAUCAGCUUGUUGGUGGGGUAAUGGCCUACCAAGGCGUCGACGGGUAGCCGGCCUGAGAGGGUGGACGGCCACAUUGGGACUGAGAUACGGCCCAGACUCCUACGGGAGGCAGCAGUGGGGAAUAUUGCACAAUGGGCGCAAGCCUGAUGCAGCGACGCCGCGUGGAGGAUGACGGCCUUCGGGUUGUAAACUCCUUGCAGCCAUGACGAAGCCCUUGUGGUGACGGUAGUGGUAGAAGAAGCACCGGCUAACUACGUG